CUUUUAGGGAUCAGACGGUUUACCCGGUCUGGGUGGGGAAAACGGUGAUAAAGGAGAGAGAGGUGAACAAGGAGUUGCAGGUGAAGCUGGGUUACCUGGACCUCUCGGACCAAAGGGUAUCCAAGGCGAUGCUGGUCCACCUGGAGCACUGGGUGCUCAAGGGGUGUCUGGUGUCACUGGAGUUAAAGGAGACAAAGGAGCUUCCGGAGAAAGGGGUGAACCAGGUUUAGACGGGUUCCCAGGGAAACCAGGUCUUCUAGGAAAGGGCGGCCCUAGGGGGCUGAUUGGUGCUCCUGGUGCAAGUGGAGUCAAAGGAGCAAAGG
Sinocyclocheilus grahami is the source of this 323-nucleotide long non-coding RNA. RefSeq lists it as uncharacterized. The record is from RefSeq and is a predicted model, not a curated record. The transcript is spliced from 6 exons. NCBI's taxonomy places the organism in Eukaryota, Metazoa, Chordata, Actinopteri, Cypriniformes, Cyprinidae.